This is a non-coding RNA of Potamilus streckersoni, 73 nucleotides long. The record is from the annotation of a GenBank genome assembly. NCBI's taxonomy places the organism in Eukaryota, Metazoa, Mollusca, Bivalvia, Unionida, Unionidae.
GCUCCUGUGGCUUUGUGGUUAAACCGUCCGCAUCGGAUGCGGGAGGUCAUGGGUUCGAACCCCGGUUGAGUCA